Molecule: long non-coding RNA, 225 nt
Filed under: Lathyrus oleraceus (garden pea)
Lineage: Eukaryota; Viridiplantae; Streptophyta; Magnoliopsida; Fabales; Fabaceae
Description: Pisum sativum (pea) long non-coding RNA (PSAT_LNC033589)
Source: RNAcentral
CUACUUCCUCAUUCACUUGUCUUGCAGAUAGAAAUACACUCUUUCCUACCUCAACCUCAGGAAAUAUCACAGUCUUAUCAAAACAGUUAAUAGAAACUCGGUUAAACACCAACCAGUUCAUUCCUAAGAUAACGUCAAUCUGCACUAACGGAAGACACACAAGGUCUAUCCCAAAGUCUCUACCAAAAAUACUCAAAGGACAAUUCAAACAAACUGAAGUAGUAG